GUGUCAGCAGCCGCGGUAAGACGGAGGGGGCAAGCGUUGUCCGGAAUCACUGGGCGUAAAGCGCGCGUAGGUGGCGCGGUGCGUCGGUGCUGAAAGCGCCGGGCUUAACCCGGCGAGGUGUGCCGAUACGACCGAGCUCGAGGCCAGCAGAGGGUGGCGGAAUUCCGGGUGUAGUGGUGAAAUGCGUAGAGAUCCGGAGGAACGCCGGUGGUGAAGACGGCCACCUGGGCUGGACCUGACACUGAGGUGCGAUAGCGUGGGGAGCGAACCGGAUUAGAUACCCCUGUAGUCC
RNAcentral lists this ribosomal RNA (292 nucleotides) under uncultured bacterium. RNAcentral describes it as "partial 16S ribosomal RNA". It matches the Rfam family "Bacterial small subunit ribosomal RNA", at positions 505 to 796 of the family's 1533-position model. The record is from RNAcentral.